GGGUGGUUAGCUCAGCUGGUAGAGCAGCGGACUUUUAAUCCGUUGGUCGUGGGUUCGAAUCCCCCACCACCCACCA
This 76-nucleotide transfer RNA is filed under the name Thiobacillus sp. RNAcentral describes it as "tRNA-Lys". It matches the Rfam family "tRNA". From Rfam's summary of the family: Transfer RNA (tRNA) molecules are approximately 80 nucleotides in length. Their secondary structure includes four short double-helical elements and three loops (D, anti-codon, and T loops). Further hydrogen bonds mediate the characteristic L-shaped molecular structure. tRNAs have two regions of fundamental functional importance: the anti-codon, which is responsible for specific mRNA codon recognition, and the 3' end, to which the tRNAs corresponding amino acid is attached (by aminoacyl-tRNA synthetases). tRNAs cope with the degeneracy of the genetic code in two manners: having more than one tRNA (with a specific anti-codon) for a particular amino acid; and 'wobble' base-pairing, i.e. permitting non-standard base-pairing at the 3rd anti-codon position. RNAcentral also lists the same sequence under 2 other names. Lineage: Bacteria; Pseudomonadati; Pseudomonadota; Betaproteobacteria; Nitrosomonadales; Thiobacillaceae. The record is from RNAcentral.